GAGGAUGGGCAUGCGGCGCAUUAGCUAGACGGCGGGGUAACGGCCCACCGUGGCGACGAUGCGUAGGGGUUCUGAGAGGAAGGUCCCCCACACUGGUACUGAGACACGGACCAGACUCCUACGGGAGGCAGCAGUGAGGAAUAUUGGUCAAUGGGAGAGAUCCUGAACCAGCCAAGCCGCGUGAGGGAAGACGGCCCUAUGGGUUGUAAACCUCUUUUGUCGGAGAACAAAACCCGGGACGAGUCCCGGACUGCGUGUAUCCGAAGAAAAAGCAUCGGCUAACUCCGUGCCAGCAGCCGCGGUAAUACGGAGGAUGCGAGCGUUAUCCGGAUUUAUUGGGUUUAAAGGGUGCGUAGGCGGUCUGUUAAGUCAGCGGUAAAAUUGCGGGGCUCAACCCCGUCGAGCCGUUGAAACUGGCAGACUUGAGUUGGCGAGAAGUACGCGGAAUGCGCGGUGUAGCGGUGAAAUGCAUAGAUAUCGCGCAGAACUCCGAUUGCGAAGGCAGCGUACCGGCGCCAGACUGACGCUGAGGCACGAAAGCGUGGGGAUCGAACAGGAUUAGAUACCCUGGUAGUCCACGCAGUAAACGAUGAAUGCUGGUUGUCCGGGUCGAAUGAGAUCUGG
RNAcentral lists this ribosomal RNA (624 nucleotides) under uncultured bacterium. RNAcentral's name for it is "bacterial SSU rRNA". It matches the Rfam family "Bacterial small subunit ribosomal RNA", at positions 221 to 842 of the family's 1533-position model. The record is from RNAcentral.